This 195-nucleotide ribosomal RNA is filed under the name Triticum aestivum (bread wheat). RNAcentral describes it as "partial small subunit ribosomal RNA". Lineage: Eukaryota; Viridiplantae; Streptophyta; Magnoliopsida; Poales; Poaceae. The record is from RNAcentral.
AUGUAUAUUAGUGUGUCAUAUGUUUCGUUUGGUUUAUAUGGUGCUGAUGAUCUUUUUCACCCUGUGUCUACCUACCUGCAGAUCAAUGGGUCUCUGGCUCGCAGGGCCAUCAAGGACCUGAUGGAGAGGGGGCUCAUCAGGAUGGUGUCAAUCCACUCGAGUCAGCAGAUCUUCACCAGGGCGACAAACUCCUGA